CACGUGUGACAAUGAAGUUUCAUGGGGACGCAGCCCACUGGGUCACGUGACGUGUGUGCUGCUCUCACACUAACACACGGACAGGAUGACCUGACGGCAUGAAAAUGAUGACAACUAGCCCUUCACAGGAACCGUCUGCCGACCAGGACCACGUAGACAAGCGCUGCCCGGGUGAGGCUGUGCUUCCUGGGGACCCCGGGGACCAUGGAGCACGCUUGUGACCCCACAUCUAUUCACACCCAGGGGUAGGAGCACCAGCACACGCCCAGCGGGAACACUCAGGACCACAGAACGCGGCCUGUGUCCCCAGAGACCAGAGGGGGUCCCCAGGUGCACGGGGGGCACAGAGCGGGCCCCCCAGGAGGAUGGUUUGCCAAACCUCCAUGCAACAGAAACGAUGGAGCCCAGACGCACUCAGUCAGCAUGUGACGUCCUCGCUGUCUCGGGCACGUCCGUGUCAGCAUCCCGCUCGGCCGGGCCUUUCCUGUGGUCCAGGCCUGUCUCCUGCAGGGACGCACGAGCAGUGGGGUGACUCCCCUCAUCCCUGCACCCCAGGCGCAUCCUGGGCUCCUGGAGGAGGCGGCCAAGGUGGGAGUGGGCAGGGGAGCCGCACGGCCUGGGGCUUUGGGUGCCGCCCACACCCCACCCCCACGUCAGUCUCCCCACAACCACAGGCCUGGGGUCUCCAAACGGCCAAGCCUGCAGCCUGAAGGGACCCGGGACAGGACGGCUAAACGUCACGGGGUCCUCGGCUGACGCUGAGUGGGGCUCAGAGAAGCUGUGAUGGAGCCGUGAGCACAGGCCCCGUGAGGACGUCCAUGCCAUCCAGCCCAGUGCCCGCGAUCGACGGCUGUGACGUGGCUGCUAAGGGUCACCUGUGGACCACGCACGCACGCACGCAUUUCUAGAGCCGGAUUCAGUCUGCAGCCCACUCGCAAGUGCGCCUGCAACCACACAG
RNAcentral lists this long non-coding RNA (958 nucleotides) under Equus asinus (donkey). RNAcentral describes it as "lncRNA (ENSEASG00005024621.1)". The record is from RNAcentral. Lineage: Eukaryota; Metazoa; Chordata; Mammalia; Perissodactyla; Equidae.